RNAcentral lists this long non-coding RNA (417 nucleotides) under Microcebus murinus (gray mouse lemur). RNAcentral describes it as "lncRNA (ENSMICG00000048233.1)". Lineage: Eukaryota; Metazoa; Chordata; Mammalia; Primates; Cheirogaleidae. The record is from RNAcentral.
AUGAGAUGUGUUCAUUUAUUUGCUAGUGACUCUAUUUUGCUGCUUCUUCUCUUUUGAUUUUGCCCAGCAGUGACUGACGCCACGUCUAUAAAAGGAAAGUGCCCAUUGAAAUGGAAAACAGGGAUUUUUAAACAGGCUCGACAUGAAAGUUGAGAUCUCGUCUCCAUGUACUGUAUACGCUCGCCUGCCAGGUCUCAGGAUCUUCGUUCGGAACCUCUGGUCACCUGAGGUCACCUUGGUCUUCAGCAUCUUUGUGAAGCUGACCGUGUAUCUAAAAUGCACCACGCUGUAAAGAAUGCUGCCAACUUCCCACCGUUGGGUACCUUUCGCAGAGAAUGGUGGGUAUCUCUCAAAUAUUGAACUUUCUUUUUUUUUUUUUCCAAAAAUGACACAAGGUUACUGAAAAUAAACAUCUGC